Molecule: non-coding RNA, 33 nt
Filed under: Trypanosoma brucei brucei
Lineage: Eukaryota; Euglenozoa; Kinetoplastea; Trypanosomatida; Trypanosomatidae
Source: RNAcentral
AUAAAACCAUAAUCACAUAUAUAGAUUGUAUUA